This 578-nucleotide long non-coding RNA is filed under the name Salmo salar (Atlantic salmon). Its description in RNAcentral is "lncRNA (ENSSSAG00000115751.1)". The record is from RNAcentral. Lineage: Eukaryota; Metazoa; Chordata; Actinopteri; Salmoniformes; Salmonidae.
AAUAUUAUCGCUAUUUUACGAGAAGAAUCGCAUAAAAAAUGUAUUUUAAACAGCGUUUGACAUGCUUCGAAGUACGGUAAUGGAAUAUUUUGACAUUUUUUGUCACGAAAUGCGCUCGCGCGUCACCCUUCGGAUUGUGACCUGAACGCACGAACAAAACGGAGCUAUUUCAAUAUAACUAUGGAUUAUUUAGAACCCAAAAAACAUUUGUUGUAGAAGUCCUGGGAGUGCAUUCUGACGAAGAACAGCAAAGGUUCUCCAUGCUGGCGUUCUCCGAUGGGUUGAAGGUGUGGCGCCUGGCACUGCAGGAGCCUACAGAGGAGGCAUGCUGUGACGUGGUGCAGUGGGCAUAUCAACUCAACACCCAUGGAGGAACCAACAGCCUGGAGGACCUACAGGUGGCGAAUCGCAUCUCUGCAUGUCUGGCAGACAUAUCAGUGUGGAUGACGGAUCACCACCUCAAGCUGAACCUCGGCAAGACGGAGCUGCUCUUCCUCCCGGGGAAGGACUGCCCGUUCCAUGAGCUCGCCAUCACGGUUGACAACUCCCUUGUGUCCUCCUCCCAGAGUGCUAAGAGC